ACACUUACUUUUUAUGCAUGCAUUGCAGAUUUUAUAAGAAUAUGUUACAUUGGGGUGCCUCUUUGUUAUUCAUGUGUACUUCCGUAGUACUUCUGUGACUAAAGCAUUUUAUUUGAAUUUUUGUUAAAACGAAUUCUGCUGUUUUCAACUGUUGCAUGCAAAUUGAAUUACGCUUUGUAAUUUACAGUCAUGAUUCAUGCUGGCAUGGAUCACAUACAUGUUAACACAUUCUCACUAGCCUUGAAUGAUCAGUUCAUGAUACCUUAAUGAAACACCCUGAGCGAGCUAUAGGUUCAGCUGUGAAGUCAGUGAUGAAAGAAAGUUACUUGAAAACAUUUGACUCAGAAACGAAUUGACUGUCACAGCACUUCAUUUUCCAGGAAAAAAACUUAUUUGUGUAAAUGGAAUAAUGAAAAAGGAUAUUCGUUUAUGAUAGAAGUACUGGAAUACUAUGUAUGAUAGCUGUCUAAAAAUUUCAACAAUCUUUGACUCAUUGGUUAGAUUAGUUUAGUAUGAAGAAGCUUGAAUGCAGUUGUCUUCAAUUUCCUUAUCUCUACAGUGAGUAUCGAUAAAGUUGUUCAGUCUGUGUACUUACUGCCUAUUGCAGAAUAGCAGAUGCUUUUAAUUAUAUCAUGCGUUGUCUGUAUUUUACAUAAAAUUUGCAUCUUGGUUUUCACUACAAACUCCAAAUAAUGGGAACCUUGAUCUGCGUUCGAUUGAAGAAAGUUCUAGGAUAUGCAAUGAAAUGGUGUACGAGAUGCAAGUGUGGGCAGCUCGGCGCUCAUGAUUGUCGUGCCAAUUUUUCAAGAAGUUUGAAGGCUAUGAGCCAGAUAUGGCAAUCAAACUAAUAGUACGUAAUGACAUGUUGAAAUGUGAAAAAUUUAUGGGCGCAACUUUGAUUGGUGAUGGAGACUCUUCAUCUGUAGCUGCAGUUAGAAGGGAAAACACAUGAAAUUGUAAAGAGGGAGGAUCUUAACUAUACUAUAAAAACCUGUGCAAAAUAAUCUGUGAGCCAUGAUAAGUCUUCCACUGAAGCUAUCAAUAUGACAUAUUGCUUUUCAUUUGCAUUGAAACCGAACAAAGAAAAAGAAAUACAAAAACGAUCCGAUAAGAUGGAAUGGGGUCGCAACUCGUCGAUAAACCAAGAGAACAAAUCAUUGCACUUUGUAUAAUUGUUUGAUCUGGACACAUCAGGCUUUGGAAAGAUUGCCAAAAUGUACCAGAUUGCAGCCAGGUACGAAGAAGAAGAGUUCAAUGAUUGCAUUGUUCUUGAGAAAGGUAUACGAGAAAAAGUUACAGAAAUCACAAGUCUUCGUCUCCGACAACAGGGAGGGUGUCGACGGGUCCACCAAGACCAGCCAUUUGCUCCUCAGUUGCUGAAGCAAGUUACAGCACUGCGACUCGUCGACAAAUUCACCGAAGUUGUAUCUCAUUUCAAUGAUACCUUACCACUCUUUUCAAAAAAUCUAGCCGAAUCUAGAAGGCCACAAAACCAAUUCAAGCAAGUUGAUCUUGCCUGAUCUUAAUAACGACGAGGAAUGCCAACGCUAUUUUUAACGUGCAAGUAUUGGUAAAGCUUAUCACAGUAUUUGGUAUUUACGAAGAGAUGAAUCUGAGGCGAGUACAGUCUUUUCACAUCAUGAAUUAUGAAAAGAACCAAAAAAGUUUAGGUCGCUGGAAUUAUGAAGACACUUAAAGUUCUUAGAUCCUAUAUGUCGAUAGGAAUGUUGAGGAAGAGUGCAGAAAUUGAGAAAUCUCUUCCUCUGUUGAUAAAAGUAUAUACCGACAAUUACGCAAAGAGUGUGGAGAUGCUGUUCGGAGAAGAUCUGAACGGUAAACCGAGAAUCACGGAACAGAAAAAAGUGUUUGCUAAUAUUGCAUAAAAAUUUAGUACACUGCCUCUUAAUAAAAAAUAAUUUCUAGGAGUAUCGUUACUACGUAAUUUGACCGUUAUAAACUGCAAUGUUCUAUCAUUUCUCUCUGUGUACAUCAUAUUGGAGCGUGAUAAAAUUGUUAUUGGUUUAUGUUCUUUGUGGUUGUGAGGAUGCAAAUAAACACUUUGUAUCUUAA
Cephus cinctus (wheat stem sawfly) is the source of this 2070-nucleotide long non-coding RNA. RefSeq lists it as uncharacterized. The record is from RefSeq and is a predicted model, not a curated record. NCBI's taxonomy places the organism in Eukaryota, Metazoa, Arthropoda, Insecta, Hymenoptera, Cephidae. The transcript has 2 exons.